RNAcentral lists this ribosomal RNA (481 nucleotides) under uncultured bacterium. RNAcentral describes it as "partial 16S ribosomal RNA". It matches the Rfam family "Bacterial small subunit ribosomal RNA", at positions 28 to 507 of the family's 1533-position model. The record is from RNAcentral.
GACGAACGUUGGCGGCGUGCUUAAUACAUGCAAGUCCACUGAAGCAGUGGUAGCAAUAUCGCUGUGGAGGUGGCGCACGGGUGAGUAACACGGAGGUAAUCUGCCUUCAGGUCUGGCAUAACUCCGGGAAACCGGGGCUAAUAGCAGAUGAUGCAGCGGCUCGACAUCGAGACAGUUGUUAAAGCUAUGGCGCCUGAAGAUGAGCCUGCGUCUGAUUAGCUAGUUGGCGGGGUAACGGCCCACCAAGGCAACGAUCAGUAGCUGGUCUGAGAGGAUGCUCAGCCACACUGGAACUGAGACACGGUCCAGACUCCUACGGGAGGCAGCAGUAAGGAAUAUUGCUCAAUGGGAGAAAUCCUGAAGCAGCAACGCCGCGUGAGGGACGAAGGGCUUUUGCUUGUAAACCUCUGUAGGGAGAGAAAAAAAUCCCAAUCUUUGGGACAUGAUGGUAUCUCAAAAGUAAGCCCCGGCUAACUACGUG